UACGGAGGGUGCGAGCGUUAUCCGGAUUCACUGGGUUUAAAGGGUGCGUAGGUGGGCAGGUAAGUCAGUGGUGAAAUCUCCGGGCUUAACCCGGAAACUGCCAUUGAUACUAUCAGUCUUGAAUACCGUGGAGGUAAGCGGAAUAUGUCAUGUAGCGGUGAAAUGCUUAGAUAUGACAUAGAACACCAAUUGCGAAGGCAGCUUACUACCCGAAUAUUGACACUGAGGCACGAAAGCGUGGGGAGCGAACAGG
RNAcentral lists this ribosomal RNA (253 nucleotides) under uncultured bacterium. RNAcentral's name for it is "partial 16S ribosomal RNA". It matches the Rfam family "Bacterial small subunit ribosomal RNA", at positions 524 to 776 of the family's 1533-position model. The record is from RNAcentral.